This 408-nucleotide unclassified non-coding RNA is filed under the name soil metagenome. Its description in RNAcentral is "partial contains 5.8S ribosomal RNA, internal transcribed spacer 2, and large subunit ribosomal RNA". The stretch from base 1 to 121 matches the Rfam family "5.8S ribosomal RNA", at positions 35 to 154 of the family's 154-position model. The record is from RNAcentral.
GAUGAAGAACGUAGCGAAAUGCGAUAAGUAGUGUGAAUUGCAGAAGUACCGUGAAUCAUCGAAUCUUUGAACGCAAAUUGCACUCUCUGGUAUUCCGGGGAGUAUCCCUGUUUGAGGGUCGCUUAACAAACCAUCGAUUUCGUUGCUUUUUUUUUUAAAGUGAUGUUUAUCGGAUUUGAGCCGUCUUUUUUUUUAUAUUUAAGUGGCUUAAAAUUGAUUUUUUUGGUACGAUCGAAGCGUAUUUUUAUGAUCAAUUUUUGGUUAAAGAAACGCACACGUACCGUUAUUUAUAUGAUGUAAUACGUUCGACUAUUGGAUUUAGUUCAUUCGUAUACGAUAUCUUUCAAUAUUUGACCUCAAAUCAGGUAAGAACACCCGCUGAACUUAAGCAUAUCAAUAAGCGGAGGA